RNAcentral lists this transfer RNA (77 nucleotides) under Hymenobacter lapidarius. RNAcentral describes it as "tRNA-Met". It matches the Rfam family "tRNA". From Rfam's summary of the family: Transfer RNA (tRNA) molecules are approximately 80 nucleotides in length. Lineage: Bacteria; Pseudomonadati; Bacteroidota; Cytophagia; Cytophagales; Hymenobacteraceae. The record is from RNAcentral.
GGGCCCAUAGCUCAAUCGGUUAGAGCAACUGACUCAUAAUCAGUAGGUCCUCGGUUCGAUUCCGAGUGGGCCCACAA